This 74-nucleotide transfer RNA is filed under the name Amorphus orientalis. RNAcentral's name for it is "tRNA-Cys". It matches the Rfam family "tRNA". Rfam says of the family: Transfer RNA (tRNA) molecules are approximately 80 nucleotides in length. Their secondary structure includes four short double-helical elements and three loops (D, anti-codon, and T loops). Lineage: Bacteria; Pseudomonadati; Pseudomonadota; Alphaproteobacteria; Hyphomicrobiales; Amorphaceae. The record is from RNAcentral. RNAcentral also lists the same sequence under 21 other names.
GGCGACGUGGCGGAGUGGUUACGCAGCGGACUGCAAAUCCGUGUACGCCGGUUCGAUUCCGGCCGUCGCCUCCA